AGGUCUUGGUCUUAAACCUCUUAUUAUCUAAACUCUAUGCUUAUACAUGCAAGCCUCAACAUGCCAGUGAAAAAGCCCACCACACCCCUAAGGAGCCGGUAUCAGGCUAACCGCCCAUAACACCAAGCAACCCAGCCACACCCCCACGGGCUCGCAGCAGUAACUAACAUUAGGCCAUAAGUGCAAACUUGACCCAGCAACAGAAUUCUCCCAGGGCCGGUUAAUCUCGUGCCAGCGACCGCGGUUACACGACAGACCCAAGAUAAUACCCACGGCGUAAAGCACGACUAAAAUCUAAAGUUGGACCAUUAAGGAUAAAGACCAGCCGGGCCGUAAAAAGCCAUAAGUCACACUAAAUACACACCCUAACAGCCCAAACAACUUCAACUCGUGAAAGCCAGGAUACAAACUAAGAUUAGAUACCUUACUAUGCCCGGCCAUAACAAGACAAUAAAAUAACAAAUUGUCCGCCAAAUAACUACGAGUAAAAACUUAAAAUUUAAAAGACUUGACGGUACUUCACACCAACCUAGAGGAGCCUGUCCUAUAACCGAUAAUCCACGAUUAACCCAACCAACUCUAGCCUAACAGUCUAUAUACCGCCGUCGCCAGCUUACCUUGUAAAAGAAACAAAGUAAGCCCAAUAACACCAAUUAACACGACAGGUCGAGGUGUAACUAAUGAGUUGGACCAAGAUGGGCUACAUUUUCUACACCAGAAAAAACGAACAGACUAUGAAACUAGAAACUGAAGGCGGAUUUAGCAGUAAGAUAGGAAUAAACAUACCUAGCUGAAACCAACGCAAUGAAGUGCGUACACACCGCCCGUCAUCCCUGUAAAACACACAAUACAUCCAUAAACAACCACCCUAUAAUAAAACAGGGCAAGUCGUAACAUGGUAAGCGUACUGGAAAGU
Molecule: non-coding RNA, 916 nt
Filed under: Vermicella snelli
Lineage: Eukaryota; Metazoa; Chordata; Lepidosauria; Squamata; Elapidae
Source: RNAcentral